Molecule: non-coding RNA, 5129 nt
Organism: Doryrhamphus excisus (bluestripe pipefish)
Lineage: Eukaryota; Metazoa; Chordata; Actinopteri; Syngnathiformes; Syngnathidae
Source: RefSeq, a predicted model, not a curated record
UACCGCAAGGUCCACUAAAGGGUGCUAGCAGCGAUGGUGGUAUAGAGUAGGUGACAAAACCACAGAAGAAGAAGAAAUCCUGAGGGCGAAAAUACGUCAAGUCAUCGUGGAUUGUCUUCCUUAUUCUGUACCACAGGUUAGUACAAAGUAGAGAUAAUUUAUAUUUUAACGGCUGUAAAGAGUUUAGAAAGUUGCUAGAGUAAACAGCUGACUGCUAAAUAUUUGUGACAAAAUAUGUUGUAGAGCAUUUGAACAUAAGCGAAAUGGCUAAUGCUAGCAAGCCUUAAUGAACAGUUAAUAGCAUGAAGCAGGCUAAUUGAAAUAUGUGAAAUGUGAAUGGAAACAAAUUGGUAAUUGUUGAUGUAAUUAUUUUAUGAUAUCUGUAGUGUUGUUAUUUUUGAGAGGAAGAAUAAAUCCUGAGGGUAAAUAUAUGUGAAUGUACGUCAAGUCUAAAAUAACCAAAUCUCCAUUGUUAGCGUUUGGGUGUAAUACCGCAACGUCCACUAGGGGGUGCUAGCAGCGAUGGUGGUAUAGAGUAGGUGACAAAACGACACAGGAAGAAGAAAUCCAGAGGGCGAAUAUACGUCAAGUCAUCGUGGAUUGUCUUCCUUAUUCUGUACCACAGGUCCGCUAGGGGGUGCUAGCAGCGAUGGUGGUAUAGAGUAGGUGACAAAACGACACAGGAAGAAGAAAUCUAGAGGGCGAAUAUACGUCAAGUCAUCGUGGAUUGUCUUCCUUAUUCUGUACCACAGGUUAGUACAAAGUACAGAUAAUUUAUAUUUUAACGGAUGUAAAGAGUUUAGAAAGUUGCUAGAGUAAACAGCUGACUGCUAAAUGUUUGUUAAAAAUGUGUUGUAAAGCAUUUGAACAUAAGCAUAAUGGCUAAUGCUAGCAAGCCUUAACCCUUCGAUGCACGAGUGACUGGACCCUCCACUCUUCCAUAAGUGGAUCAAAAAUCACCCAUACUAGAAUCAAUGCCUUUUUAUGCAAAUUUUGCCAUUUUGGUUAGGAAUAAUCACUUGUAUGAUAUUUAGUAUUAUAUUUAGGACCACACAAGAAUGAUUUCAUGUUAGAAACAUCUUCAUUUUUCACUUUUUUCCAUCUUUGAAAAAGAAAAUUACCCUGUACAUCAAUAGAAAAUGGGAGGAUCCAUUGUGUGUUUCAUAAAGGGAAGUUAAAAAUGUGAACGGCAUGAUAUCAAAAAUAUGUUUUUUGAGCAAUACCUGGAAUAUGAAAUGAUAACAAUUUUUCAUUCCAAAGAUAUUUCAAGAAAACAACCUGACCGGGUCAUUUUUGACCCACUUAUGAAAGGUUGGGGUAGUAACAGAAAUACAAAAAAUUCUUAAAAUGUAUAAAAGUUAAGUUAAAAAUGUGAACGGCAUGAUAUCAAAAACAUGUCUUUUGAGGAAUAACUGGAAUAUGACAUGAUAAAAUAAUUUCAUUAUGAAGAUAUUUCAAGAAAACAACCUGACCGGGUCAUUUUUGCCCCACUUAUGGAAGAUUUCUUAAAAUUUCUUAAAAUGUAUAAAAGGGUAAGGGUAAGUAUCAAAAACGUGUUUUUUGAGGAAUACCUGGAAUAUACAUCAAGUCAUCGUGGAUUGUCUUCCUUAUUCUGUACCACAGGAAUUUCAAGGCAUACAACCCCUCCAGGUGGUGGAGGGGCAACAUCUGCACGCUUUUAUCAUUGGCACUGACACCCAUCCCAAAGGCGGCCCGGGGGCCGCUUGUUUGAUGCACACCAGGGUCCUCAAAAUGACGAGAGAAUGUCAUGUAACUCACUGUGUCUGCAUCCAUAAACAAUGCGGGACACUCGGCACACGUCAGCAUUUGAGAUGACCUCAGGAACUUUGACCCUAAUCCUCCCAGGCUGUCGCCAAGACGCUUUGACGAGGCCUGCUCCCUUCAUUAACGGACUACCUGGAAGAGGGAGGAGAACACGUGGAAAGUGUAGACCGCGCAGGAGCCGUCCAAGUCGGACACCAGCUGGCCGAGGUUAUGCAUGGACAAGUCAAGGGAACCUACAAGCUGAGACUGGGAGAGAAUCCGGCCGACAGAGAGCGAAUCCUCCUCGGAGGACUCGUCGGAGUCCUCUUCGGGCGUGAUGCGGCUCAGGCUGGGCAUGCUGCUGGACAGGUGGCUCUCCUCCAGGGUGUGAAGGUCACUCUGGUCCAGGCUGUCCACUGAGUGUCGGCGUACGCCCCAGUUGAAGUUGUCCAUGGUCUCCCCCUGAAACGGCGAGCACAUUCAUCAAGCACGAGCUCCUCACUGCGGCGGACACAACAUUAGGUACACUUACACUGUCCAGCACGAGCAGCAUCAUUUUAGGUCGGGUUACUAAAACUGUGCUCCAUUUAUUCUCCAUGUUUGUCUAUAUCUAUAUAUAUAUAUAUAUCUCUCUCUAUAUAUAUAUAUAUAUAGAUAUAUAUAUAUAGGGAUUCUGUGUACCUAAUGAAGUGUCCAGUCUGUUUGUUUACAUUCAUGCAGUGGUCCAAGUAUGUCUCCUCCUCUCCAUAAGAAUGGUAGGAAUGCUGUAGUCUGACCCACAGUCUCACAUUCCCACUUACGCUACACUCCGACAUUUCAAGCUAACUAAACUACGUUGGCGUCACAUCGAGUCAACAAAAAUGCAUUAAAUGUACAAAGUAGUUAUUUUGAUAUUUUUCCCAAUUUGCUCCUUUCAUGAUUUUAUAACUAUUUUUAUAUUUUAUAUAAAUAUAUAUUAUAUUUUAUUUCAUUUGAACAUGCAUCAGAUUACAAUUGAGUGCAUCUCAUAAUCAGUUCCCAGUUCCACAUGUCCAAAAGGAGUAGGAAGAAGCAAAGCUUAUUAAAUCCUACCCCUCCAUCUGGUACUUUUACAAUCACUAACUGUUACAUUUGUUCACUUCCUGCUUUCCUAAUAUAAUGUAUUUAUUCAUUUUAAUUUUUUAAAAUUAAAAUUAAUUUUAAUUAUUAAAUCCUACCCCUCCAUCUGGUACUUUUACAAUCAGUAACUGUUACAUUUGUUCACUUCCUGCUUUCCAUAAUACAGUUUAGUUUUUUUUUAUUAUUUAUAUAAAUAUAAUUUAUAUUUUUCAUAGUUUAUACUUUUUAAAAUAUUUUAAAUAUUUUAUAUUUCUGUUAUAUAUAUUAAUUAUAUUAUAUUAUUUUUCAUAUUUUUUAAUAUUGUUUGCUAUGUAAAUAAAGUAAAAAGUAUGUAGUAAUAUAAUAUGUAAGCGUAUUAACUGACAUAGUGGGCUUUUGUUGUUAUUUCAAUUACAGAAACUCUGUUUAUAAAACGUGCUACAUUAAGGUUGUAAUUGAUUAUGGGAUGCACUCAAUUGUAAUCUGAUGCAUGUUCAAAUGAAAUUAAACCAUUACCAUUUAUUUUAUGACCAAUUUAUUAACACAUUUAAUUCAAUUGAACCACAAUUCCAGCUAUGUUCCAAAUAUUCCCGAUAAGCUGGAAAACACAUGCAGACUUCCACGGAGUCUUUUCUCGAAACAACCACGGCAAGUCAUGGCAUGCAAACACAGCAAAAACGACAACAUGGACAAAACUUGAAAGUGACUUACCUGCAACUCCUAGAUAGCACCCGGAAACACAAAAAUAAAGCAUUACUAAGUGGACCUGCGCCGCGGUACCACAUCCAAAAUGGCGGCCGACCAGCGCUUCCCUCACGAUGAGCUCACCUCUCCAUCUUCAAGCUCCACAUCCAGGAAGUCAAAGUCCCUGAAGACUCGGAACUGCUGCUCUGAGGCCGUGUCGUCCACCGUGUCCGCUUCUCGGGUCCCCUCGUCGGAGGACACCAGGCUGGGCUGGUGCUCCAUGAGGUCCAGUUCUCCACAGCUGGAGAAAAUCACCUUCACCGACAAGACGUCAAUCAAUCAAUCAAUCAAUCAGGACAGUGGGGGGCAUGUCUAUCAGCGUCGCUUACUGAAGGAUUUUUGGAUCACAUCAUCACCUGGGAAGACUGAGGCCUCUUCCAGCUGACGGGAACCAGAACGUUGUUGCCCGUGGAUCCUGAGGAGCUGGACGAGGCGCUGCGGGUCACUGCCGCGGUUCGACUUCUCCCGUCUCGCCCGGAGGAAGCGUGCAAGUCAUCGUAGCGUCGGCCAAUCACGGGCGUCUGGCAACACAAAGCAAAAAAACUAAAAAGUUUUUUCGGUUUAAAAGAUGUUUUUUUUUAGUAGUUUAAGGAUCAGCACAAACAUUCCGUGUUGAUGGGCGACAAGUCACUGAUUCACACACAAAAGGCGGCGGCAAUGAUGUGACAUCACUUCCUGCCAUUCAUGCGCUACACAAAUAGCUCAGUGUUCUGUUCCCACAUUUUUUUUUUCCCAUGUAGUCUGCUGCUCGGCUUCUUUACUGUUUACCUUUUUAGCUUUUAAGCUAAUUCCCAAGUGGGACAAAAGGUGGGGGUAAAUGUUACCCCCGUUUUUGUAAGAAUGUGACCCACCCACCCACCACACCCUGGAAAAAAGGCUGGAGAAGAAAAAGGUCUUUCACCUCCGAUAUGUCAAAGUGGAAGUGGAGCGUUUUUCCGGGCAAGGCCUUGGAGGAGCGUUCCCAAACUCUGCUGAUGUCCUCGUAGGAAAGGUCGCUGGAAGGUCGCACCAAGCUGGCCGAGCGACUCACCACCAGCUUUAGAAUGUUCAACGCUUCCCUCCAGUGGACGCUCUACAGCACAUUCACACAAAAUAUCAUCAUCAUCAUCAUAAUAAUUCAUAAUAAUGUUUAACGCUUCCCUCCAGUGGAUGCUCUACAGCGGAUACACACAAAAUAUCAUCAUCAUCAUCACAAGCCUGUUGGUGCGGUGUAAUGGUUUCUAUUUUUAGAACCAGAGGUGUUCUGGCAAAGCUGAGCGGACGCCACAGCGCUUGGCACGGUUUAUGGUUUGGGUGUGUCCACGCAAUUACUGAGCUGACACGAAACGCCCCUUUUUUUCCCCUCUUUCUCGUUGAAAAGCAGUGACGGGAAUGCAAACAUUUGAAGUCAUUUCCUUGUUCCUCAAUCAUACGCAAUAUUGAUUUUCCACCAAGAGAUAUCUCUAUGCACGCAUAACCAAUAUUAUGGUGUCAUAACAUGAAGCAAUUGAAUUGAAAACAGUGCAAUCAUAUGGUUGUUAUUAGCUAUUACUAAAAAGAUCAAU